UAGUCCACGCCGUAAACGAUGGAUGCUAGCCGUCGGCAAGCUUGCUUGUCGGUGGCGCAGCUAACGCAUUAAGCAUCCCGCCUGGGGAGUACGGCCGCAAGGUUAAAACUCAAAGGAAUUGACGGGGGCCCGCACAAGCGGUGGAGCAUGUGGUUUAAUUCGACGCAACGCGAAGAACCUUACCAGCUCCUGACAUGUCAGGUCGGUUUCCAGAGAUGGAUUCCUCCCAGCAAUGGGUCUGAACAC
This 246-nucleotide ribosomal RNA is filed under the name uncultured bacterium. RNAcentral's name for it is "partial 16S ribosomal RNA". It matches the Rfam family "Bacterial small subunit ribosomal RNA", at positions 791 to 1035 of the family's 1533-position model. The record is from RNAcentral.